This 385-nucleotide ribosomal RNA is filed under the name uncultured bacterium. Its description in RNAcentral is "bacterial SSU rRNA". It matches the Rfam family "Bacterial small subunit ribosomal RNA", at positions 32 to 427 of the family's 1533-position model. The record is from RNAcentral.
AAUCAACGCUGGCGGCGUGCCUAACACAUGCAAGUCGAACGAGAAAGGGACUUCGGUCCUGAGUAUAGUGGCGCACGGGUGAGUAACACGUGACUAAUCUACCCUCGAGUGGGGAAUAACUGAGAGAAAUCUUAGCUAAUACCGCAUAACACUUACGAGUCAAAGCAGCAAUGCGCUUGGGGAGGAGGUCGCGGCCGAUUAGCUAGUUGGCGGGGUAAUGGCCCACCAAGGCGAUGAUCGGUAUCCGGCCUGAGAGGGCGCACGGACACACUGGAACUGAAACACGGUCCAGACUCCUACGGGAGGCAGCAGUGGGGAAUUUUGCGCAAUGGGGGAAACCCUGACGCAGCAACGCCGCGUGGAGGAUGAAGUAUCUCGGUACGUA